GGGGCUAGCGUUGCUCGGAAUUACUGGGCGUAAAGCGCACGUAGGCGGAUUGUUACGUCGGGGGUGAAAUCCUGGAGCUCAACUCCAGAACUGCCUUCGAUACUGGCGAUCUCGAGUUCGGGAGAGGUGAGUGGAACUGCGAGUGUAGAGGUGAAAUUCGUAGAUAUUCGCAAGAACACCAGUGGCGAAGGCGGCUCACUGGCCCGAUACUGACGCUGAGGUGCGAAAGCGUGGGGAGCAAACAGG
RNAcentral lists this ribosomal RNA (246 nucleotides) under uncultured bacterium. Its description in RNAcentral is "partial 16S ribosomal RNA". It matches the Rfam family "Bacterial small subunit ribosomal RNA", at positions 531 to 776 of the family's 1533-position model. The record is from RNAcentral.